GAGCCAUUAGCUCAGUCGGUAGAGCACAUGACUUUUAAUCAUGGUGUCACUGGUUCGAUUCCAGUAUGGCUCA
Sebaldella termitidis ATCC 33386 is the source of this 73-nucleotide transfer RNA. It matches the Rfam family "tRNA". Rfam says of the family: Transfer RNA (tRNA) molecules are approximately 80 nucleotides in length. Their secondary structure includes four short double-helical elements and three loops (D, anti-codon, and T loops). Further hydrogen bonds mediate the characteristic L-shaped molecular structure. tRNAs have two regions of fundamental functional importance: the anti-codon, which is responsible for specific mRNA codon recognition, and the 3' end, to which the tRNAs corresponding amino acid is attached (by aminoacyl-tRNA synthetases). tRNAs cope with the degeneracy of the genetic code in two manners: having more than one tRNA (with a specific anti-codon) for a particular amino acid; and 'wobble' base-pairing, i.e. permitting non-standard base-pairing at the 3rd anti-codon position. Lineage: Bacteria; Fusobacteriati; Fusobacteriota; Fusobacteriia; Fusobacteriales; Leptotrichiaceae. The record is from Rfam.